CCCAUUUAGCUCCGCAGUCCACACACACCUAACCCUAAUUCCCCAUUCUCUCCUCCCGUCCCCUCAGCCGCCACCACUCCACCAAUCUUCCUCCGCCCGCUCCACGCCGGCUCCGCCGCAGAACAGGCCUUACCUGUGCCGACCAAUCGAUGCCCUCUCUUCUCCCCUCUAUAUGCGCGCCCCUCCCCAUCUUUCCCACCGCCGCAGCCACCAGCCCGUAGCCCCCACCCUGAUUCUAGAUCACGCCCUCGAGAUGCGGCGACAGUGGUGGCGGCGGGUCCGACUGCUGCAGUUGGACGAUGGUGGACGCCGUCCACAACCUCCCGGCGCAGAUCAGUCCGCCUUCCUGGUUCGCAGUCGAGCAGCGCACGUGCCGCGAUGAUCCCCAUGAUGCGCUGGCCAUCUAAACCAGAUCGUCGCCGACGAGAAGUCUCUAAUGUCCUGUGUGGCGGCCACGGGUCCAUCUUCAGUCGGCGGCGAGCUAUGGUGAGGUACACAUGGCACUGAUAGAUGCAGUGUACAGGGGCGCCGCCGCUGCCAUGGAGCUGGCCACCAGCUUCUGCCUGCCGUGAUGGGCGCUGCCUCCGCUGCUUUGCCAGGGCCCUCCUGCCCUUCGUUUAUGUGCUGCCCCUCGUCAUCAUCUCCGUGGGUGGGCUCUUGCACUGCAAUGCCCCUGAACCCCAUUCUCCACCCAUCCGACAGUGUGCUAGAUGUCGUCCUCCUCGACGCGGCCGUCCUCGACGAGCUCUCUUGGUCGUAGAAGGCGGAGCAGCAAAGCAUCCUAUCCUCCAGCGCGUGGACUGACGGCUGCAUCCUCCUGCUCUCCUAGCGUGGUAUUGAAUUACACAGAAUUUGCUGGAGGGCAACUUUUCCCAUAAAACUUAAAGAAUGAGUUGUGAGGUGGUACUAAGGGGCUUUAGGUACGGAGAUUGUUGGCAGCGGCACACGCGAUGGUGCUCACUUGUGCGAUUUGGCAAGGAAGAAGAACAUGGUGAUUGGCUGCGCUGGUGCUUCCAGACUUGCCUGACAUGGAAUCCUUCAGUUGAGGAAGAUUGAUUCUUGCAGAUGUGUGGGAAGAACUUGUGGAGAGGCUCACCUCACUCUUCACAAAAGGCCAAUACAUGCUUGUUGUACUCCUGGAUGAAUUUGUAUCUCUAUAUAUAUGUUUGUAAAUGUUUCUUGUGUGGCUUUAGUGAUGCCUUCUAGGAUCCUUGUUGUAAUGGACAGAAUAUUUUGUUAGAAAGGAUAAUGGAUGAAACAACUGGGAAUUUGUGAACUGGGCCAAAUUAUGUGCCUGGGACAUCAAGAUAA
This is a long non-coding RNA of Triticum aestivum (bread wheat), 1311 nucleotides long. RefSeq lists it as uncharacterized. The record is from RefSeq and is a predicted model, not a curated record. The transcript is spliced from 5 exons. Lineage: Eukaryota; Viridiplantae; Streptophyta; Magnoliopsida; Poales; Poaceae.